AGCCAAUGAUGACAGAGCUGUCUGGGUCUAUAUAAUAGUGAGCUCAGUCUUUAUCGGCGGG
RNAcentral lists this microRNA precursor (61 nucleotides) under Magallana gigas (Pacific oyster). RNAcentral's name for it is "Mgi-Novel-3_pre stem-loop". The record is from RNAcentral. Lineage: Eukaryota; Metazoa; Mollusca; Bivalvia; Ostreida; Ostreidae.